AUACGGAGGAUCCGAGCGUUAUCCGGAUUUAUUGGGUUUAAAGGGUGCGCAGGCGGGAGAUUAAGUCGGCGGUGAAAUUUUGCAGCUCAACUGUAAAAGUGCCUUCGAAACUGGUUUUCUUGAGUGUAGAUGAAGUAGGAGGUAUUUGUGGUGUAGCGGUGGAAUGCAUAUAUAUCAAGAGGAACUCCGAUUGCGCAGGCAGCUUACUAAACUACUACUGACGCUCAGGCACGAAGGCGUGGGGAUCAAACAGGAUUAGAUACCCUGGUAGUCCACGCAGUAAACGAUGAUUACUAGCUGUUUGCGAUACAAUGUAAGCGGCUGAGCGAAAGCGUUAAGUAAUCCACCUGGGGAGUACGUUCGCAAGAAUGAAACUCAAAGGAAUUGACGGGG
RNAcentral lists this ribosomal RNA (393 nucleotides) under uncultured bacterium. RNAcentral's name for it is "partial 16S ribosomal RNA". It matches the Rfam family "Bacterial small subunit ribosomal RNA", at positions 523 to 918 of the family's 1533-position model. The record is from RNAcentral.